RNAcentral lists this long non-coding RNA (1862 nucleotides) under Vitis vinifera (wine grape). Its description in RNAcentral is "long non-coding RNA (VVIN_LNC008002)". Lineage: Eukaryota; Viridiplantae; Streptophyta; Magnoliopsida; Vitales; Vitaceae. The record is from RNAcentral.
GAGAUACAAGAAGGGACUAGGCUUGUAUAUAAUAUUUUGAGCUGCUUUUAAGGUUUAUGGCACAUUUUUUUAUCUCUUAAUUGGAUUUGAAAUUCAAUACAACACCCUAAAUGGUUGUUUACUAGUGAUCUUAUGUUUUUUUUUUGUAUUUUCCCAAUGAGAUGUUUUGCAACAAUAAAUGGUUGCUUAGGUGUUAAGGAAUGUUUUAAAAAAUUUCUUAAAUAAAAUUUUAAAUUGUUUUCAAGAAUAAUUUUUUUUUUUUUGAGAACUUAAAUGUGAAAAACAGUUUUCUUGGCUUUUUCUCCAUGAAUGCACUAGAAAGAGUUUUUAAGAAAAGAAAUGAAAUCAUCAACCCAAUCAAAGAGAGAGAAAAAAAAAAAGAAAUGAUGAAAUUAUCAAAAUGUUUCCUAGUUCGUGUUAGUUUUGUGUUGUAAGAAAACAUGUACGCUUGCAAGCUUGGUUAAAAUGUGUGAAAAUCAAUGAUACAUAUCAAGGUAGCUUAUUUAAAUCAAUGAUCAGGUUCAUAUUUAUUACGUCUUAGGUUUUAUUAGGUAAGUAGAGACUUAUGUUUUAAUUAGGUAAGUAGAGACUUAUGUUUUAAUUAUUCUUGUUGGUAUUAUCCUUUAUUCGUAAAAGCUAGAAUUCAUAUUUGUAUGUCUAUCAUCUUCUGAAAUACAUUCAUAUUGUUUGGUGGAAGUUUGAUGUAUAUUUUUGAAUUUACUUUGAUUAGUUUUCUUAAGACUUUUGUUGUGCUUAGGAGAGAAUUUGAUUAAUGUGCUUCUAAAGGAUUGUGGACUAUGUUGCAUGGGUUGGGGUAUGAGUGUCAAGUGCAGGUGUUUGUCUAAUUGUUCAAUCCUUCAUAACUCAAAUUUUAGGUUGUGAAGACUUGGCUAAAAAUGAUCCUAAAAAGGGGCAUGGACACCUUUUCCCUCUAAAAAAAAAUCAAUUAAAAUAAAUUGACAUGAAAAUAAAUUGACAAUGAAAAUAAAUUGACAAUGAAAAUAUCCUAUUUAAAAGCUCCCACCUUAAGGUACCCUAGGUACUACCUUAGCUAAACAUGAACUCAACCUCUCCCAAGCCUUGGGUCUUCCUUUGUGACCCUUAGAGCAUCCCAUUAUGUGGUUCUCUUGAGUGCUCAGGUGGUCCACCAAUGGUUUUUUGGGACUGUACCUUAGGUACACCUUAAUGACCUUUAAGUAUUACCUUAAGAGACCCUAGGUACUACCUUAACUAAACUUGAACUCAACCUCUCCCAAGCCUCGGGCUUUCCUUUGUGAGCCUUAGAGCAUCUCAUUAUGUGGUUCUCUUGAGUGCUCAAGUGGUCCACCAAAGGUUUUUUGCAAUUGUACCUUAGGUACUACCUUAAGAGCCCUUAGGUACUACCUUAAUGGCCUUUAGGUACUACCUUAAGGGACCCUAGGUACUACCUUAGCUAAACAUGAACUCAACCUCUCCCAAGCCUCGGGUCUUCCUUUGUGACCCUUAGAGCAUCCCAUUAUGCGGUUCUCUUGAGUGCUCAAGAGGUUCAUCAAAGGUUUUUUGGGACUGUACCUUAAGUACUACCUUAAGGGCCCUUAGGUACUACCUUAAUGACCUUUAGGUACUAGCUUAAGGGACCCUAGGUACUACCUUAAGGUAAACAUGAACUCAACCUCUCCCAAGCCUCGGGCCUUCUUUUGUGACCCUUAAAGCAUCCCAUUAUGUGGUUCUCUUGAGUGCUCAAGUGGUCUACCAAUGGUUUUUUGGGACUGUACCUUAGGUACUACCUUAAGGGCCCUUAGGUACUACCUUAAUGGCCCUUAGGUACUACCUUAAGGGACCCUAGUUAUUACCUUAGCUAAACAUGAACUCAACCUCUCCCA